Molecule: non-coding RNA, 2443 nt
Organism: Bactrocera oleae (olive fruit fly)
Lineage: Eukaryota; Metazoa; Arthropoda; Insecta; Diptera; Tephritidae
Source: RefSeq, a predicted model, not a curated record
UCUUUUACAUUUUUUGCAACUAUAUUUUCUCAAUUAUCACUAAUUAACUCGCCAAAUUAAUCAACUGAAGACAAUAGAAAAUUUGUUUUGCAAAAUUUACGAGUAGACACGUGACCAGCGCGUUUUAAUAGCUACUUUGUUACAAUUUAUGCACAAGUGUAUGUAUAUAUAUAUGUAACAAAUGGAUUGAACACGUACUUGUAAAAAUUAAAAUGCAUACAAUUGUAUAUACAUAACAUAUAUUUUAUGGAACUGUGAACAUGAAUAUAUGCUAUAUAUAUUUAUACUUGCGCUAAUAAUUAUUCUCACCAAUUUUGAAUAAAUUGAUUCGUAAAAUAAAUUUUAAAUUUUGCGACAUUUAAAAAUUUCAAAGACAUUUAGAUUUACAGUGGGCAAAAUAAGAACGUUAGAUACUAAAAUAGAAUUUUAUUUUAACGGAUUUAACUAUAAAUUUUUUUUAAAUAUACACAUAUUUAUGCUUAGAGCAAAAGCGUUGAAUAAUUUUUAAUGACACAUACUUGUAUGGUUUAGCGAUAACAAUAGUUUUUUUUUACCUUAGCAUACAGUUGCAGUUUUUUCUUUUAAUUACAUCACUGUACGUUUUUAGCUACAAGUAUAGUCUUUUUUUAAUGUUUUUGUUUUUUAUGAUUUUAUUAAAAUAACAAGUAUUUCUAUUGCAAUUCUCGUUUAUAUUUUAUCAUAUUUUAUCGUUAUUUAUAAAAUUAUUUUUUCCUAAAGAAUUCUAGCAUUCGUUUUACAGAAGUGCUUAGAUUAUGUGUGUAUUAAUUCUAUGAGGAAGGAAGAGUUUUUUGCAACGCUCAAAUCUUUUUUUAUAAAAGUAAGCCUAAUAUAAGAAUACAAUAAUUUUACUUAAUUAAUGAAGUUAUGUGAAAAACAAUGUUAAAAAGAAACCAACGAAUGUAGUCUGAUUUUAAGAAAUGAGUCCAUACCCCCUUACCUCAUUUCGAAAAUAUGACAAUAAAUUCAUUUCAUAAAUAAUUCAAUCGGUUCAUAUGAAAAACGAUUUCGGUCGUUCACAGACAAGAUUCCAGUAUAAAAAGCUGAAACUCGGAACUAUAGAAGUUUUGGAAACAUCAUCGGUAAUGAUAGACAAAACUUGAAAUGAGUUAACGAGUUAUAAAUAAAUUGAAUAUCAUUAAAUUGAGAUACUGCUUUAAUGCCCUGCGUCCUUAUGUUAGUCUUUAUUUGUACACGGUAACUUUGCUAGCUCAUUUUCGGGAAAUUCUCCUUUGGUGUUGGCGAUUGCGUUCACACGAGCGACACAAGUGCAGCAACUAGCGUAGGGGAAAUUUCUGUAUUCCCUUUCAUAUCAAAUUCUUAAUUUUUUGUACGCUCUUGGUACACAAAUUUGUUUCAUUAGCUGUUUGUUAACCUAUUUAUCAUUUCCUAAUUUUCUACAUUUCUAUUAUAUUACUUCUAUAAGUAUAUAUUACAUUCCUAAUUUAGAUGAUAAAAUUCAAAUUUCCGAACAUGAAAGGAAAUGCGUACUGCGUAGCAUCGAACUUUUACGAACAAGAAAACAAAGCGUUGCCUAAGCAUGAGUAACUAGGUGCCAUUAUUCUUUCCUCGUGGUCCCCUCGGCAACAAACCAGUCGACGCAACAAAAAUAUUCGUGUCUUAAACGUUAAUGAAUUUUACAAAAGACAUGAGACAUGUAAAAACCUUGUUUCUAUAAAGCAUUUCCUAAAUAACAAUUCCGUCCUCGUAUAAAGAUCAGUUUUCAACAUCAAACAUUAUAUUUCGUCGAAGUUAGAACCAGCGUAAAAACUUAGAUAAAAGAAAUGAUUGACAUUUUUUUUUGCUAAUAUAGUCUUAAAUAAUCGUAGCAAUUUUCCUCAUUGAUCAAAGAAAUCUUUUCUAAUAUAGGGAUAGUAAUUCCUAUUUGAUCGAGGGGAAACUCUUACAAAAGUUACGUCUAUUGUGGAAACCCAAAUCACUAAUGGCUGGACAAUUAACUGCAUGAGUAUGAAUAUAUCAGAAUUAUAUUGCCUACGCUAUUUUAACUAUACAGUAGUGAUUUUCAGAAUUAAAAUUAUUCAAGCGCGAAAAUUUCAAAACUACAAGUAGGGUGGAUGUACAAGUAUGUAUGACGACGCAUCGGGACCUUCUGGAUUUUAAAAAUUAUAUAUACAGUAGAUAUAUGUAUACAUUAGGGUCUUCAAUUGCAGAAAGAAAUUUUUACUUCCCUCUCACUAGAUUGCAUUCGCUUCGAAUACUCUAAAUGCGAAACUAUAUCAUACAAAUUUUGCUGCCGAUUGAAUCAAAGUUAAGACUAUACUAAUCCUCUCCAAUCCGAACCAAAAUGUAUGUAUGUGCAUGAUAUCAUUUACUGUGGUAGGUAGUGUCGAUGAAGAGUGUGAAUACUCUAAUGUACAUUGCGCAGAAUUGUAUAAAUAAUAUUUUAACGUUAAUUGUCUGCUUA